Molecule: ribosomal RNA, 1068 nt
Filed under: uncultured bacterium
Lineage: Bacteria
Description: partial 16S ribosomal RNA
Rfam family: Bacterial small subunit ribosomal RNA
Source: RNAcentral
GGGUUGUAAAACUCUUUCGUCGGGGAAGAAAAUGACUGUACCCGAAUAAGAAGGUCCGGCUAACUUCGUGCCAGCAGCCGCGGUAAUACGAAGGGACCUAGCGUAGUUCGGAAUUACUGGGCUUAAAGAGCUCGUAGGUGGUUAAAAAAGUUGAUUGUGAAAUCCCAAGGCUCAACCUUGGAACUGCAAUCAAAACUUUUUAGCUAGAGUGUGACAGGGGAAAGUGGAAUUUCUAGUGUAGAGGUGAAAUUCGUAGAUAUUAGAAAGAACACCAAAUGCGAAGGCAACUUACUGGGUCACUACUGACACUGAGGAGCGAAAGCAUGGGUAGCGAAGAGGAUUAGAUACCCUCGUAGUCCAUGCCGUAAACGAUGAGUGCUAGACGUUGGAAAUAUAUUUUUCAGUGUCGCAGCGAAAGCAUUAAGCACUCCGCCUGGGGAGUACGACCGCAAGGUUAAAACUCAAAUGAAUUGACGGGGACCCGCACAAGCAGUGGAGCAUGUGGUUUAAUUCGAAGAUACGCGCAGAACCUUACCAACGCUUGACAUGUUCGUCGCGAGACUAAGAGAUUAGUUUCUUCAGUUCGGCUGGACGAAACACAGGUGCUGCAUGGCUGUCGUCAGCUCGUGUCGUGAGAUGUUGGGUUAAGUCCCGCAACGAGCGCAACCCUCACUUUUAGUUGCCAUCAUUUAGUUGGGCACUCUGAAAGAACUGCCAGUGAUAAGCUGGAGGAAGGUGGGGAUGACGUCAAGUCCUCAUGGCCCUUACACCCUGGGCUACACACGUACUACAAUGCUACGGACAAAGGGCAGCAAACUCGCGAGAGCUAGCAAAUCCCAUAAACCGUGGCUCAGUUCAGAUCGUAGGCUGCAACUCGCCUACGUGAAGUAGGAAUCGCUAGUAAUCGCAGGUCAGCAUACUGCGGUGAAUACGUUCCCGGGCCUUGUACACACCGCCCGUCACACCAUGGAAGUUGGCCAUGCCCGAAGUCGUUACUCCAACCCUUGUGGAGGAGGACGCCGAAGGUGGGGCUAAUGACUGGGGUGAAGUCAUAACAAGGUAGCCGUA